ACAGCUAGGAGGUUGGCUUAGAAGCAGCCACCCUUUAAAGAAAGCGUAAUAGCUCACUAGUCGAGUCGGCCUGCGCGGAAGAUGUAACGGGGCUCAAACCAUACACCGAAGCUACGGGUAUCAUCUUCGGAUGAUGCGGUAGAGGAGCGUUCUGUAAGCCUGUGAAGGUGAGUUGAGAAGCUUGCUGGAGGUAUCAGAAGUGCGAAUGCUGACAUGAGUAACGACAAUGGGUGUGAAAAACACCCACGCCGAAAGACCAAGGUUUCCUGCGCAACGUUAAUCGACGCAGGGUUAGUCGGUCCCUAAGGCGAGGCUGAAAAGCGUAGUCGAUGGAAAACAGGUUAAUAUUCCUGUACUUCUGGUUAUUGCGAUGGAGGGACGGAGAAGGCUAGGCCAGCUUGGCGUUGGUUGUCCAAGUUUAAGGUGGUAGGCUGGAAUCUUAGGUAAAUCCGGGAUUCUAAGGCCGAGAGCUGAUGACGAGUCAUCUUUUAGAUGACGAAGUGGUUGAUGCCAUGCUUCCAAGAAAAGCUUCUAAGCUUCAGGUAACCAGGAACCGUACCCCAAACCGACACAGGUGGUUGGGUAGAGAAUACCAAGGCGCUUGAGAGAACUCGGGUGAAGG
Molecule: ribosomal RNA, 622 nt
Filed under: Pseudomonas sp. MF6787
Lineage: Bacteria; Pseudomonadati; Pseudomonadota; Gammaproteobacteria; Pseudomonadales; Pseudomonadaceae
Description: partial 23S ribosomal RNA
Rfam family: Bacterial large subunit ribosomal RNA
Source: RNAcentral